This 208-nucleotide ribosomal RNA is filed under the name uncultured bacterium. RNAcentral's name for it is "partial 16S ribosomal RNA". It matches the Rfam family "Bacterial small subunit ribosomal RNA", at positions 28 to 226 of the family's 1533-position model. The record is from RNAcentral.
GACGAACGCUGGCGGCGUGCCUAACACAUGCAAGUCGAGCGGGAACCUCGGGAGGGGUAACCCUCCUGAGGGGAGAGCGGCGAACGGGUGAGUAACACGUGGGCAACCUGCCCCGGACACCGGGAUAACCCGAGGGAAACCUGAGCUAAUACCGGAUACUCCGGCGUGAUCGCAUGGUCGUGCCGGGAAAGCUCCGACGGUCCGGGAU